AGAUGGCAGAACAACCAUACUAAGAGGUAUUGAAGGCUUUCUGUGUGCUGAAGAGCGUUCCAUGGAUUGUUCCAUUUAAGCCUCAGAGCAGUUCUGUGACGUGAUAUGUUGAUGUGACACUUAAGAUCAUGACGAAGACGUAUUAGAAGAAAGAGCAUGAAAACCAAAAACACAGGGAGAAGCUAGUCAAAUGGUCUGAAGCAACAAGGCAAUGAGCCCCAAGAUGCCCCAAGAACCUUGAGAAAGUAACUUCCAUGCGACAAAAGGAUUGAGAUGCAUAGGAAGACCCCUGCCUGAGCCUCCCAGCUGUGGGAAGAGACCCUCCCAGGAACAGGCGCCGGGGACCCUACCUUCUUCCAGAACCUUCUGUGACUGCCUGCCUGGCUGAGCUCUCCUUCUUCCCAGGGUCCUCAGUGGAAUUGCCAGUUGAAAUACAGAACAUCCAGUUAUAUUUGAAUUUCACGUAAACAACGAAUAGUUUUUUUCAUAUGAGUAUAUCCCAAAUAUCUUGUGGAACAUACUUACACGAUGUUUAUCUGAAAUUCAGAUUUAACUGGU
RNAcentral lists this long non-coding RNA (558 nucleotides) under Equus caballus (horse). Its description in RNAcentral is "lncRNA (ENSECAG00000031456.2)". The record is from RNAcentral. Lineage: Eukaryota; Metazoa; Chordata; Mammalia; Perissodactyla; Equidae.